Mercenaria mercenaria is the source of this 1296-nucleotide long non-coding RNA. RefSeq lists it as uncharacterized. NCBI's taxonomy places the organism in Eukaryota, Metazoa, Mollusca, Bivalvia, Venerida, Veneridae. The record is from RefSeq and is a predicted model, not a curated record. The transcript has 2 exons.
GUUCUGGCCUUACUGAAGAGGGAGCCGGGUCUUCUCAUUGAUCUUUUAGAGGAUGACACCGUCAUCAUGACGGGACUCCACCACCAUCACCUCCAGGUUCUUCAGGCAACAUAGUACCAUCAUGGUGCAGAUGUAGUUUCUGUAGAGAAAUGCCCACGGAGUUUGAAAAAAAUGUUGUGGUUGUAUUCCACAAAACUGUGUGAGCCAGAGAGAUCAAAUGAACCGUAUUGUUCUUGACCCUGAAGUGUUGGCAAUAGGACAGGCCUACUACAGGGAUAUGUUUGGAAGACAUCGCCAACGAGUUGAAGAUUACAAUAGAACCAUGCGACAUGCAGGAUAUUGCAAUUUUACACUUUGGAGACAUGGACAUUUGGGGGCUGGAAUCAGACGAGUGAUUCCUAGUUGCUGUGUUCUAGCUAUAAGGCGAAAAUUUCCUUCAGCCUCGGGACAGUACACAGGCUUUGUGCCUGCAUGUUUCGUUUGAGUUACAUUGUCAUUUAAGAGAUCUGACGAUUUUUGUGCCAUAUGUAAUUUACUCAGAGAAUAACCCAGUUUUUCAAAGCAUGGUCAAGACAGUCGUGUGAUUAUUCACCUAUACAGUGCCUUUAAAGACCGUGAAUAUAAAACCCUUAUGAAAGUUCUAGUUUAGGUCUUGGAGACUUUUUUUCACAUUCAACUACUGAUGUUUAUCAUUUGAGUUUGUUUGCUUAUGAUUGACACUUUUGAGAUACAGUUUGUAUUGUCUUUAGACUACAGGAAAUCAUGAUGAAUUUUCAAGUGCUGUUAUUUUCAACAUCUAAAAUAAAGCUGAAGUAACUACAGUCUGUCAGUAAUAUAUCAUUUAUUAAUAACAGUCAUGAGUUCUAUCUACAUAUCAAAAGCUUAACAAUGGUUAGUUAGUGUCUUGUAAAAAAGAAGGGUGUCUAAGAAGUUUUUGGAAUUUGUUUUCAAUACUGAAAAAUUCAUCAGACAUGCUAGUCACACACAGAUUAGGUAAACCAACAAACAUAACAGUUUUAUAGAAAUUAGUCUUUUGUUGUGUGCAUUUGUAUAAAGAAUUCAUUGUAAGCUUACAAAAAGUAACUCCACACAUACCGUAAAAUGAAACUGUUCCAUGAAUUUCUUAGACAUCCUUUGUAUUUUAUGAACAAGCAUAUUUAAAUUAAGCAAUUCUAUGCAAGAAAUGUAUGAAAAUAACACAAUUGUUUUCAUUUUUAUGCUGUUUCUAAGCAAUGGGACUGGCUAUGUUGGUCGGACAAUAGGUACAAAGAUUCAUGUGUUUCUAUAUAGAACUAU